GCGGAUGUGGCGGAAUUGGUAGACGCGCUGGAUUUAGGUUCCAGUACCGUAAGGUGUGAAAGUUCGAGUCUUUUCAUCCGCACCA
RNAcentral lists this transfer RNA (85 nucleotides) under Alphaproteobacteria bacterium. RNAcentral describes it as "tRNA-Leu". It matches the Rfam family "tRNA". Rfam says of the family: Transfer RNA (tRNA) molecules are approximately 80 nucleotides in length. Their secondary structure includes four short double-helical elements and three loops (D, anti-codon, and T loops). Further hydrogen bonds mediate the characteristic L-shaped molecular structure. tRNAs have two regions of fundamental functional importance: the anti-codon, which is responsible for specific mRNA codon recognition, and the 3' end, to which the tRNAs corresponding amino acid is attached (by aminoacyl-tRNA synthetases). tRNAs cope with the degeneracy of the genetic code in two manners: having more than one tRNA (with a specific anti-codon) for a particular amino acid; and 'wobble' base-pairing, i.e. permitting non-standard base-pairing at the 3rd anti-codon position. Lineage: Bacteria; Pseudomonadati; Pseudomonadota; Alphaproteobacteria. The record is from RNAcentral.